CUUGUGUAGCCCCUGAAGGACUUAUAAGCCCCAGGGUGGCAUUGUCCCUGACUUUCUGGGCUUCUGCUGCUCUGGCUCAAACAAGAUUCUGGCUGAGCUUAUGAAUGUUGUUUAUAUAACCUCUGAACUCAUCUGCUUGCUAGGCUGGUGGCUGAAGUUAUUCAUUCAUUCAGCAGGCAUUUAACAAGCACUUUCUGCCAUGCCAGGCAUUCUGGUAGUGUUGUGAACUCAGAAACAAAAGAUGCAUUCCCUAGGUAAAGAAGUGACAGCUUAAUGGGAGGCCAAAGAAGGAAGAAUAGAAAAACAACAUUUCUAUUACAGUUGAAGUUGACAGAACCAACCACAGAAACCAGCCUGCCGUGAUACAAGGAGCAACUAUUUGAGCAGAGGAAGAUGCUACUAUGAACCCUUGUUGCCCUAUUUUCCACUCAGUGGCCCUUAUAGAAAGCUGUUUGGGAACAGCAUCAUUAGCGGGUCACUGGAAUCUACAAAGCCACCAUAACCACUACUUUCCAGCUUGCGCCUGUGGUAUCUUCAUGAAUUUUCUGCCAUAAUUGCACUGACCUCUUGCUUUAUCAAACAGACAAGGACAUCUGAUUCUUCCAGCCCUCAGUACUUCUCAGAAAUACAAUCUUCUGACCUGUCUGAAUUUCUCUGGAAGAGAACUUACCAGUCCUCUGGAGCCUGUGACAGCAGCUUAUAAAGGAAAGUAAUAAAAGAAAGUGGAGGUGAACCAUUUUGGGCCCCUUUUCAAGAGGGAGGGUAGGUGUGGUUUUUGAGAUCAAGUCCAUUUGUCUAAAAUUUCUUCCUCCUCUUAUUUUGAUUAGAAGUCUUCUCUGACAUCCCAUUCCUUUCCUAAGGUCUGGUGGAGUAUACCAAAGGAAGAACUUCUGGAAGCUUUCCUUUUUUUUUCUCAACAGAGAUUGUUUCUAUAUCCUGUGUUGUGAGUAGAAUGUAGUAGGCACAUUAGAGGCCUUCUUUCUCUUAUUUCAUAUAACUGAGGAUUUUGAUGUAUGGAUGCUAUCUAUGGGGAAGGAGAUAUAUGGCUUUGAAAAACAUAUUUGGAAGCAAAAAUAUUGGGAGCCUGGGCCCAUCUAGAAGUCUGACUCUAAUUGGUAGUCCUCUAAAUGAUGAAAUACCCAAAUUCCCACUUUGGCAUCUCUUGGU
RNAcentral lists this long non-coding RNA (1167 nucleotides) under Homo sapiens (human). RNAcentral's name for it is "HSALNT0315786". Lineage: Eukaryota; Metazoa; Chordata; Mammalia; Primates; Hominidae. The record is from RNAcentral.